This 169-nucleotide unclassified non-coding RNA is filed under the name uncultured Hypocreales. RNAcentral's name for it is "sequence contains ITS2". The record is from RNAcentral. Lineage: Eukaryota; Fungi; Ascomycota; Sordariomycetes; Hypocreales. RNAcentral also lists the same sequence under 1 other name.
CAACCCUCAGGCCCCCAGUGCCUGGCGUUGGGGAUCGGCACCCUCCCCCCGGGGGAGAGCCGGCCCCGAAAUCUAGUGGCGGUCUCGCUGUAGUCCUCCUCUGCGUAGUAGCACAACCUCGCAGCUGGAACGCGGCGGUGGCCAUGCCGUUAAACACCCCACUUCUGAA